Molecule: ribosomal RNA, 376 nt
Filed under: uncultured bacterium
Lineage: Bacteria
Description: bacterial SSU rRNA
Rfam family: Bacterial small subunit ribosomal RNA
Source: RNAcentral
CGGUAAUACGGAGGAUCCAAGCGUUAUCCGGAAUCAUUGGGUUUAAAGGGUCCGUAGGCGGUUUAGUAAGUCAGUGGUGAAAGCCCAUCGCUCAACGGUGGAACGGCCAUUGAUACUGCUAGACUUGAAUUAUUAGGAAGUAACUAGAAUAUGUAGUGUAGCGGUGAAAUGCUUAGAGAUUACAUGGAAUACCAAUUGCGAAGGCAGGUUACUACUAAUGGAUUGACGCUGAUGGACGAAAGCGUGGGUAGCGAACAGGAUUAGAUACCCUGGUAGUCCACGCCGUAAACGAUGGAUACUAGCUGUUGGGAGCAAUCUCAGUGGCUAAGCGAAAGUGGUAAGUAUCCCACCUGGGGAGUACGUUCGCAAGAAUGAA